UACGUAGGGUGCAAGCGUUGUCCGGAAUUACUGGGCGUAAAGUGUGCGCAGGCGGCUUCGCAAGUCGAGUGUGAAAUCCCCGAGCUUAACUUGGGAAUUGCGCUCGAAACUACGGAGCUGGAGUGUGGCAGAGGAAGGUGGAAUUCCACGUGUAGCGGUGAAAUGCGUAGAGAUGUGGAGGAACACCGAUGGCGAAGGCAGCCUUCUGGGCCAACACUGACGCUCAUGCACGAAAGCGUGGGGAGCAAACAGG
RNAcentral lists this ribosomal RNA (253 nucleotides) under uncultured bacterium. RNAcentral describes it as "partial 16S ribosomal RNA". It matches the Rfam family "Bacterial small subunit ribosomal RNA", at positions 524 to 776 of the family's 1533-position model. The record is from RNAcentral.